GAGAGGGGUUUUUUGUCAGACUAAGGUAAUAAAACUGAUAUUUAAACAUGCUAUACACAUUUUCAUCGCUUCUGGAUACCAACAUCUAGUUUAUCACAAGGACACACAAAGCAAAUAUAACAAUGUGCAGGGCUGCAGAAACCCACUAGUCUAUUAGUUUGUGACGAGUGGAAAAUGAUGCCUGACAAGUGAAAAAAGUCCUGAUGAGCAGUGUACCAACAUAGCUUGACGAGUAAAAUAUUUUGUCUGGCUGAUAAACUGAGCCUACAUUUCUUCACCCCUGCCAAUGUAAAUCUGCUAAUAGGAAAAGGGACACUCUGCAAUGUCAGCAGUCCAAUACAUAACGUGACACCAAGGUCUAGGAGUGAAUGAUGUAUAACAGUUCUUUUUAUUUUAAAUUUAUUUCAAUAUGUAAUUUAUUCUCCUGCUAUCCAGUCUGGUUUCCUAAACUAUACUAGCAUUUAAUACACUGGCCUUGGAGAGGAGAGCUGGUCUUGCAGCAGCGAGUAUGAACUGUCCGCUUUGCUAAUCAGAGUCUGGCCUUGUUUGCAUUUGGAUGGCCAACUACAUCCAAGUGCUGUCUGAAGCAAGAUAUUGCCCUUAGGGGAUGAGGCCGUAGUUCAGUGGUGGAGCAACUGCUUGCAUGCAAAAGGCCUCAGGUUCACUCCUUGGCAGCAUCUUCAGGUAGGGCUGACACAAUACUGAGUUAGAUGGACCAAUGGUCUGACUCAGUGUAAGGCAACUUCCUAAUCACUUCAGGGUCUUGUUUCCCUUUGUAAGUUUGGGAACUAUUGUUCCAAGAGGAUGCUAAGAAAUCUCCAAGAUGCUCAUCCCAUUCGAGCAUGGCAAUUCCCCAAAUUACAUAAGAAAACUUGCUUCAGUUUAUAGCACAGAUAUAUUUUGUGUUUUGUGAGCUGCCCAUAUUUGGGGCAGUUGACAAAUAGAAUAUAUAAAUAACAAUAAAACCUAAAGCAGACUUGGACCCAGCUGUAUGAUAGAUGCCUGACCAUCUACCAGCCUUGGACUGCAAACUCAGGAGCAAGAAAGGAGGUUUUUAAUGAGUCCCGGACUGCACAUGGCUGGUGGGAUCACAAAUUGUGUGGGCCUACUCUAAGGUAAAUAUAGCCCGACCUCAGCUAGAAUCUAUCGCAAUACAGGAAAUAGUAUACUUUGUUUCUAAAAGAGUAGACUAUUUCCAGUUAAGUGCACAAGAACCUUUAGUGAGUUCCCAGCAGCACCUGGUGAGCCAAUGUGUGAAACAGGCUGCUGGACUAGAUGGGCCUCGGGCCUGAUCCAGCAGGUCUGUUCUUAUGUUCCUCAGAAAUAUGCUGAAGAAAUAUUUCUCUUCUACUCUGCACUCUUGUGGAUAAAUCAUGGAAUGCAAGCUAGAUUUUACAAAAAUGAAAACAGCUCAGAGACUAAUUAAAACAUCCUGACUACAUCAACUUGCAAACUGGCAAGAACAAACCACCAACCAAAAGCACUAUCAGUUCUCAGCUCUAGCUUAAUAAAAUCUGAAAACAGGUUGUGUUAAACUUUAACAGCUGGACAUUACCUUCUGGAAAUCACAUCCUGAUGAUAUGUGGAAAGAAGUGCAGAAGUUGGAGAAGGGUGAAGCAGCAGCAGAGGUGCCACUGGAAUAAAACUUGAGCCGAGUUUAUGCCGCCCUACAAAAGGAAACCAAAAUUAAGUCCAUCGUUCUGAGUAGAGGUAUCCUGUUAGAAUGAAGGAUGACCCUGAAGACAUACCUGUUUUCCCAGGCCUCCAACUGAUACCAGAUUUUUAAAUUUUAAUGUGUUUUUAUCUAUUUUAUCUUUUUAUGUAUUAUAAAUGUUCUAUAUUUUAUAUUGUGUUUUAAUUCUGCAAACUGCCUAGAGAUUUCAAUAUUAGGCGGUAUAUAAAUUCAAUAAGCAAACAAACCAACAUUAACAGAUUUGCUGAUGUUUUAAUAUUGUUUCAUUGUUUUGAUUGGUUAUUCCCCAUCUCUGACAGCUUUAAAAAAGUCUUUAAAGACGCAUCUGUUCACCCAGGCUUUUAAUUAAUAUUGCUUUAAUGGUUUUAAUGCUGUUUUAAAAUAUUGUUUAAAAUUUUUUAAAUUACUGUGGUGUUUUGAACAUUUUGCUUUUAAAAAAAACUAAUGUUUUACUUUCUGUUUUUAUUGUGUUGUAAACUGCCCAGAGACGUAAGUUUUGGGCGGUAUAAAAAUGUGUCAAAUAAAUAAAAAUAAAUAAAUAUU
This is a long non-coding RNA of Hemicordylus capensis (graceful crag lizard), 2236 nucleotides long. RefSeq lists it as uncharacterized. The transcript has 3 exons. Lineage: Eukaryota; Metazoa; Chordata; Lepidosauria; Squamata; Cordylidae. The record is from RefSeq and is a predicted model, not a curated record.